AGCGUACACGGUGGAUGCCCUGGCAGUCAGAGGCGAUGAAGGACGUGCUAAUCUGCGAAAAGCGCCGGUAAGGUGAUAUGAACCGUUAUAGCCGGCGAUGUCCGAAUGGGGAAACCCAGUGUGUUUCGACACACUAUCAUUAACUGAAUCCAUAGGUUAAUGAGGCGAACCGGGGGAACUGAAACAUCUAAGUACCCCGAGGAAAAGAAAUCAACCGAGAUUCCCCCAGUAGCGGCGAGCGAACGGGGAGGAGCCCAGAGCCUGAAUCAGCAUGUGUGUUAGUGGAAGCGUCUGGAAAGGCGCGCGAUACAGGGUGACAGCCCCGUACACAAAAGCGCAUGUGCUGUGAGCUCGAUGAGUAGGGCGGGACACGUGGUAUCCUGUCUGAAUAUGGGGGGACCAUCCUCCAAGGCUAAAUACUCCUGACUGACCGAUAGUGAACCAGUACCGUGAGGGAAAGGCGAAAAGAACCCCGGCGAGGGGAGUGAAACAGAACCUGAAACCGUGUACGUACAAGCAGUGGGAGCCCCACCACUAAGCCAGUGGUGAGAACCCAUGACGCAUCCUUUGCUGAGGAUACGGUUAACGGAGCGAAAGCGACGUUCAACCGCAAAAGAAGCAGAGGGGGCUUAGUGGUGGGGUGACUGCGUACCUUUUGUAUAAUGGGUCAGCGACUUAUAUUCUGUAGCAAGGUUAACCGUAUAGGGGAGCCGGAGGGAAACCGAGUCUUAAUUGGGCGUUAAGUUGCAGGGUAUAGACCCGAAACCCGGUGAUCUAGCCAUGGGCAGGUUGAAGGUUGGGUAACACUAACUGGAGGACCGAACCGACUAAUGUUGAAAAAUUAGCGGAUGACCUGUGGCUGGGGGUGAAAGGCCAAUCAAACCGGGAGAUAGCUGGUUCUCCCCGAAAGCUAUUUAGGUAGCGCCUCGUGAAUUCAUCUCCGGGGGUAGAGCACUGUUUCGGCUAGGGGGCCAUCCCGGCUUACCAACCCGAUGCAAACUGCGAAUACCGGAGAAUGUUAUCACGGGAGACACACGGCGGGUGCUAACGUCCGUCGUGAAGAGGGAAACAACCCAGACCGCCAGCUAAGGUCCCAAAGUCAUGGUUAAGUGGGAAACGAUGUGGGAAGGCCCAGACAGCCAGGAUGUUGGCUUAGAAGCAGCCAUCAUUUAAAGAAAGCGUAAUAGCUCACUGGUCGAGUCGGCCUGCGCGGAAGAUGUAACGGGGCUAAACCAUGCACCGAAGCUGCGGCAGCGACACUUAAGUGUUGUUGGGUAGGGGAGCGUUCUGUAAGCCGUUGAAGGUGUGCUGUGAGGCAUGCUGGAGGUAUCAGAAGUGCGAAUGCUGACAUAAGUAACGAUAAAGCGGGUGAAAAGCCCGCUCGCCGGAAGACCAAGGGUUCCUGUCCAACGUUAAUCGGGGCAGGGUGAGUCGACCCCUAAGGCGAGGCCGAAAGGCGUAGUCGAUGGGAAACGGGUUAAUAUUCCCGUACUUGGUGUUACUGCGAAGGGGGGACGGAGAAGGCUAUGUUGGCCGGGCGACGGUUGUCCCGGUUUAAGCGUGUAGGCUGGUUUUCCAGGCAAAUCCGGAAAAUCAAGGCUGAGGCGUGACGACGAGGCACCACGGUGCUGAAGCAACAAAUGCCCUGCUUCCAGGAAAAGCCUCUAAGCAUCAGGUAACACGAAAUCGUACCCCAAACCGACACAGGUGGUCAGGUAGAGAAUACCAAGGCGCUUGAGAGAACUCGGGUGAAGGAACUAGGCAAAAUGGUGCCGUAACUUCGGGAGAAGGCACGCUGACACGUAGGUGAAGUGAUUUACUCAUGGAGCUGAAGUCAGUCGAAGAUACCAGCUGGCUGCAACUGUUUAUUAAAAACACAGCACUGUGCAAACACGAAAGUGGACGUAUACGGUGUGACGCCUGCCCGGUGCCGGAAGGUUAAUUGAUGGGGUUAUCCGUAAGGAGAAGCUCCUGAUCGAAGCCCCGGUAAACGGCGGCCGUAACUAUAACGGUCCUAAGGUAGCGAAAUUCCUUGUCGGGUAAGUUCCGACCUGCACGAAUGGCGUAAUGAUGGCCAGGCUGUCUCCACCCGAGACUCAGUGAAAUUGAACUCGCUGUGAAGAUGCAGUGUACCCGCGGCAAGACGGAAAGACCCCGUGAACCUUUACUAUAGCUUGACACUGAACAUUGAGCCUUGAUGUGUAGGAUAGGUGGGAGGCUUUGAAGCGUGGACGCCAGUCUGCGUGGAGCCAACCUUGAAAUACCACCCUUUAAUGUUUGAUGUUCUAACGUGGACCCGUUACCCGGGUUGCGGACAGUGUCUGGUGGGUAGUUUGACUGGGGCGGUCUCCUCCCAAAGAGUAACGGAGGAGCACGAAGGUUGGCUAAUCCUGGUCGGACAUCAGGAGGUUAGUGCAAUGGCAUAAGCCAGCUUGACUGCGAGCGUGACGGCGCGAGCAGGUGCGAAAGCAGGUCAUAGUGAUCCGGUGGUUCUGAAUGGAAGGGCCAUCGCUCAACGGAUAAAAGGUACUCCGGGGAUAACAGGCUGAUACCGCCCAAGAGUUCAUAUCGACGGCGGUGUUUGGCACCUCGAUGUCGGCUCAUCACAUCCUGGGGCUGAAGUAGGUCCCAAGGGUAUGGCUGUUCGCCAUUUAAAGUGGUACGCGAGCUGGGUUUAGAACGUCGUGAGACAGUUCGGUCCCUAUCUGCCGUGGGCGCUGGAGAACUGAGGGGGGCUGCUCCUAGUACGAGAGGACCGGAGUGGACGCAUCACUGGUGUUCGGGUUGUCAUGCCAAUGGCACUGCCCGGUAGCUAAAUGCGGAAGAGAUAAGUGCUGAAAGCAUCUAAGCACGAAACUUGCCCCGAGAUGAGUUCU
RNAcentral lists this ribosomal RNA (2876 nucleotides) under Salmonella bongori serovar 40:z35:-. RNAcentral describes it as "bacterial LSU rRNA". It matches the Rfam family "Bacterial large subunit ribosomal RNA". Lineage: Bacteria; Pseudomonadati; Pseudomonadota; Gammaproteobacteria; Enterobacterales; Enterobacteriaceae. The record is from RNAcentral.